Prosopis cineraria is the source of this 494-nucleotide long non-coding RNA. RefSeq lists it as uncharacterized. The transcript has 3 exons. Lineage: Eukaryota; Viridiplantae; Streptophyta; Magnoliopsida; Fabales; Fabaceae. The record is from RefSeq and is a predicted model, not a curated record.
GGUCGGUGGUUUGUGGCGUCUCGGACAACCUGUCGGGAAGUAGAUUUUGGUUCUUCCUUUUUCUCUCCCUCUCUUCUGAGUCAGUUGGCGCAAGACGGUUUUGGGUGAAAGAGAAAGGCGCUUUCGGUGAAAGAGACAAGCCUUAGCGUAUUCCCAUUCACAGGUUGACGUUGCUAUUAUUGAAGUUGGUCUUGAAGGCAAAGAAGACUCAACCAAUGUGGGAUGGAUCACGUGGAGGUCUUGGGUGCAUAUCCUCAUGCUUUGCAUUUAGUUGACUUGUAGAUCUGCACUGGCAAUGUGGUGUCUGGCAUGCAAAUAAAAUUAAUUUUGUAUUUUUUUAUUUUUAUCAAUAAAUGUGGAUGUCCAAAACAUGGACAAUAUGUUUUUUUUAAAGUUAAUUUCUUGAAAUUAAGCAUGAGAUACUCUUGCACAGAUAGUUUCACACAAGUCAAGGAUUUCCCUGGUAUGAAACUUAUAUACUCUAUGCAAUCAAA